This 471-nucleotide long non-coding RNA is filed under the name Strigops habroptila (Kakapo). RNAcentral describes it as "lncRNA (ENSSHBG00005002750.1)". The record is from RNAcentral. Lineage: Eukaryota; Metazoa; Chordata; Aves; Psittaciformes; Psittacidae.
UUUUAGCCAGACGCCAGGUUUUAGGCUGCCACCAGAGGCGGGGCAUAGGCACUAAAGCAACAAGACAAUAGAAGCCUACAUCUUGCCCAAGAUAAUUAGCUUACAUGCUGAUGACAAGGUUAACAGCUCCAGAGAUGCACAGAUCUUUCCUAUGUCCAUGUGUGAGCUCCAGGACAGGAGAGCAGCCCAGACAACCAAGGAGCCAGGGAGGAAGCCUUCCGGGUGAGGUGCUGCCAAGCCCUUGACAAGUUGAAGGCUAGUGGAUUUGGGACGAGGUAGAGGAGAGCUCUUCUCCUGUUGCCUUUGUUUCCAUUUCUAAUGACGAUGUCGCACUAUUUCCACGGCUGGUCCUGCUGCACAACUGGGUUGAAAAGGGUUAAGAUGGAGAGCAGCAUGUGCACUUUUAAAACUACAUGCGACAAAGUCCACUGCUUGAAGUCCGGGUCCCUUCUUCCCCCGCCCCUCCCCAGC